CCUACGGGUGGCAGCAGUGGGGAAUAUUGGACAAUGGGCGAAAGCCUGAUCCAGCCAUGCCGCGUGUGUGAAGAAGGCCUUCGGGUUGUAAAGCACUUUCAGUGGGGAAGAAAGCCUUGGGGCUAAUACCCUCGAGGAAGGACAUCACCCACAGAAGAAGCACCGGCUAACUCCGUGCCAGCAGCCGCGGUAAUACGGAGGGUGCGAGCGUUAAUCGGAAUUACUGGGCGUAAAGCGCGCGUAGGCGGUCUGAUAAGCCGGUUGUGAAAGCCCCGGGCUCAACCUGGGAACGGCAUCCGGAAGGGCUAGGCGAGAGUGAAGGAGAGGAAGGGAGAAUUCAAGGUGGAGCAGUGAAAGGUGUAGAGAGGGGGAGGAAAAACAGGGGUGAAGGCUGCAUGAUGGACGGACAAGGAAGAGGAGGUGUGAUAGAUUGGGUAGAAAAAAGGAGGCGAUACACAAGUAGUC
Molecule: ribosomal RNA, 465 nt
Filed under: Vreelandella stevensii
Lineage: Bacteria; Pseudomonadati; Pseudomonadota; Gammaproteobacteria; Oceanospirillales; Halomonadaceae
Description: partial 16S ribosomal RNA
Rfam family: Bacterial small subunit ribosomal RNA
Source: RNAcentral